Molecule: long non-coding RNA, 642 nt
Filed under: Homo sapiens (human)
Lineage: Eukaryota; Metazoa; Chordata; Mammalia; Primates; Hominidae
Description: HSALNT0297409
Source: RNAcentral
AUUCCCAAUCCAAUCCCCAAAACAUUUACUUACCACCCACUAUGUGGAAAGAAAGCACUGUGACCUGGAGGGUAGGAGAAGCAGCGCAAGCAGCUGAGUCUAGCAGCAGGACCACCAGAAACUAGAGCCAUUCUUCACGAUGCUGCCAGCCAGGGAACGGAGUGAGCCCAUGAGCUCCGACCCAGCAUGGGCAGCACCUUCCACAAAGGGUGCCUCAUUUGAUCUUCACAACACCCCUAUCGGGUAGAUACUAUCAUGCCUAUUUUAAGAUGUGGAAACUGGAGCCCAAGAUCACACAGCUAUCAAGUUAUAAAGCUGACAUUUAACCUGGACUCUGACCACUAAUAAUCUGAUCUGCGUGUUCACUGAUCAGAAACAGACAAAAUGACAUAUAAGAAAUUGAUAUUGGCCGGGCACAGUGGCUCACACUUGUAAUCCCAGCAUUUUGGGAGGCCAAGGUGAGAGGAUCGCUUGAAGCCAGGAAUUUGAGAUCAGCCUGGGCAAUAUAAUGAAACUGUGUCUCUACAAAAGGUAAAAAAUAACAUUAGCCAGGCAUGGUGCUGUGCACCUGUAGUCCCAGCUUCUCAGGAGGCUGAUGCAGGAGGAUUGCCUGAGCUGAAGAAUUUGAGGCUGCAGUGAGCU